Molecule: ribosomal RNA, 253 nt
Filed under: uncultured bacterium
Lineage: Bacteria
Description: partial 16S ribosomal RNA
Rfam family: Bacterial small subunit ribosomal RNA
Source: RNAcentral
UACGAAGGGGGCUAGCGUUGUUCGGAAUUACUGGGCGUAAAGCGCACGUAGGCGGACUAUUAAGUCAGGGGUGAAAUCCCAGGGCUCAACCCCGGAACUGCCUUUGAUACUGGUAGUCUCGAGUCCGGAAGAGGUGAGUGGAAUUCCGAGUGUAGAGGUGAAAUUCGUAGAUAUUCGGAGGAACACCAGUGGCGAAGGCGGCUCACUGGUCCGGUACUGACGCUGAGGUGCGAAAGCGUGGGGAGCAAACAGG